RNAcentral lists this ribosomal RNA (433 nucleotides) under uncultured bacterium. RNAcentral's name for it is "partial 16S ribosomal RNA". It matches the Rfam family "Bacterial small subunit ribosomal RNA", at positions 29 to 507 of the family's 1533-position model. The record is from RNAcentral.
AACGAACGCUGGCGGCAUGCCUAACACAUGCAAGUCGAACGAGACCUUCGGGUCUAGUGGCGCACGGGUGCGUAACGCGUGGGAACCUGCCCUUAGGUUCGGAAUAACUCCCCGAAAGGGGUGCUAAUACCGGAUAAUGUCUUCGGACCAAAGAUUUAUCGCCUUUGGAUGGGCCCGCGUUGGAUUAGCUAGUUGGUAGGGUAAAAGCCUACCAAGGCGACGAUCCAUAGCUGGUCUGGGAGGAUGAUCAGCCACACUGGGACUGAGACACGGCCCAGACUCCUACGGGAGGCAGCAGUGGGGAAUAUUGGACAAUGGGCGAAAGCCUGAUCCAGCAAUGCCGCGUGAGUGAUGAAGGCCUUAGGGUUGUAAAGCUCUUUUACCCGGGAUGAUAAUGACAGUACCGGGAGAAUAAGCGCCGGCUAACUCCGUG